RNAcentral lists this long non-coding RNA (1695 nucleotides) under Helianthus annuus (common sunflower). Its description in RNAcentral is "hypothetical non coding rna". The record is from RNAcentral. Lineage: Eukaryota; Viridiplantae; Streptophyta; Magnoliopsida; Asterales; Asteraceae.
ACCACCCAAACUACCAAAUGGAUCACAUAUAACCACUUCUAAAACAUAACCCUAACACACACUUGCACAUCUUCUACUGCUGCCCCCUUUCUCUUUUCCCCUUUCUCUAUCGAUGAAAGUAAGAUUGCUCAUCUAAUCAGAUCCGGUUCGUUCUUUGUUCUUGUCCGAUCAUGGCUGGAUAUCCUAGAUACUUCGGUCCAGAUCAUCCCAUUUUCAGACAUUUCUAUCAGAUCAAAAGGGGAUAAGCGAAUAUGCUGGAUUUGACUCUGUAAAAGGAUUGGUCUAUCGAGCAAGUGUUUGUAGGUUUUGAUUGCAGAAAGGAGUAGCUAUAUUUGGGUGUCUCUGAGAAAGGAGAAGGUUUACACACGAUUGGGCGAAGGAAGGAAUUGUCCAUUGAUGCAACCUGAAAGAAAAAAAAAGGUGGAGUUUACAAUCAGCCGCAAUAAACAGGGUAGGGAUAUGGUAAAAAGUGUCUAAAAUGUAAGAAGGGUAAGAAGUGUUUUAAACCAUUGGAUAUUUGAUCUAAUGGUUGAGAUCAAUAGGGUAUAAAAUGUAAAUUGUGUUUUAAUUAGAAGGACCUUAUGUAAAAAUUGAAGGGCAAUAGUGACUUUUCCAACGUUUCAAAAUAUGGUAACCGUUUCAAAACCCCCAUCAACCUUCCUAAAGAUCAGCGAAUUAUAUGGUAACCAGCGAAUUAUAUGGUAACCGUCAUCAAUCUCCAAAAAAUCAACGAAUUUCUUCAUACUUUAUCAUAAAUAGAUCUAUAAUCAGAUUCAUGGCGUGUUGUUUUAAAAAACUGGAUAAAUUGACUAUGAUUCAGGUCAUGGUGUUUUAUGUGUUUUAUCUGGAGACAUUGUUCAUGUCGUGGUGUUUUAUACGCUUAUGAUUCAAGUCAUGGUGUUUUAUCUGGAGACAUUGUUCAUGGCGUAGUGUUUUAUCAAUAGAAAACGUUCACAGAUUUUAAAACACCAUGACUAUGAUUCAAGUCAUGGUGUUUUAUCUGAAGACAUUGUUCUUGGCGUGGUGUUUUAAAACAUCUAUGAUUCAAGUCAUGGUGUUUUAUCAGGAGACAUUGUUCAUGGCGGGGUGUUUUAUCAAUACAAAAACAUCCCCAGAUUUUAAAACACCAUGACUAUGAUUCAAGUCAUGGUGUUUUAUCUGUAGACAUUGUUCAUGUUGUAGUGUUUUAAACAUCUAUGAUUCAAGUCAUGGUGUUUUAUAUGGAGACAUUGUAUAAUCAGAUUCAUGGCGUGGUGUUUUAAAAUAACUGGAUAAAUUGACUAUGAUUCAAGUCAUGGUGUUUUAUCUAGAAUCCAGAAAACAUUGUAUUGUGAUUACAUCCAUGGUGUUUUAACAUCUAGACAAUCAAAAUACAAAACAUUCCCAUAUUUUAAAACACCAUGACCAUGAUUCAAGUCACGAUCAGAAAUGAGGAUGACGAAGAUGAAAGACGAUGACGGUGAAUGAUUUGUGGAGACGAAAGAAAUUGGUGACGGUGGUCGGAGAUGCAUGUGUGUUCAAAUCGGAGAAGAUGACGUGAUGAUGAUGAUGAAACAAUCAAUCCCUAAAAAUUCUCAUGGCCAGUUUUUUUUUUCCAGUUAUAUUGUAAAUCAAUUAAAUGACAAAAAUGUACAAUUACUAAUCUACCCUUUUGAAUUAAUUAAGAGGAGGGACACUUGUCAUUCCAAGAUUAUU